AUUGAACGCUGGCGGCAUGCCUUACACAUGCAAGUCGAACGGCAGCAUGGGUGCUUGCACCUGAUGGCGAGUGGCGAACGGGUGAGUAAUGCAUCGGAACGUACCCGGAAGUGGGGGAUAACGUAGCGAAAGUUACGCUAAUACCGCAUAUUCUGUGAGCAGGAAAGCGGGGGAUCGCAAGACCUCGCGCUUCCGGAGCGGCCGAUGUCGGAUUAGCUAGUUGGCGGGGUAAAGGCCCACCAAGGCAACGAUCCGUAGCGGGUCUGAGAGGAUGAUCCGCCACACUGGGACUGAGACACGGCCCAGACUCCUACGGGAGGCAGCAGUGGGGAAUUUUGGACAAUGGGCGCAAGCCUGAUCCAGCCAUGCCGCGUGAGUGAAGAAGGCCUCGG
RNAcentral lists this ribosomal RNA (392 nucleotides) under uncultured bacterium. RNAcentral describes it as "bacterial SSU rRNA". It matches the Rfam family "Bacterial small subunit ribosomal RNA", at positions 29 to 420 of the family's 1533-position model. The record is from RNAcentral.